RNAcentral lists this long non-coding RNA (4942 nucleotides) under Heterocephalus glaber (naked mole-rat). RNAcentral's name for it is "lncRNA (ENSHGLG00100036380.1)". The record is from RNAcentral. Lineage: Eukaryota; Metazoa; Chordata; Mammalia; Rodentia; Bathyergidae.
ACAAGGUUCUCCAGCUCCACUUUGGGAAAUUCAUUGAUCCUGCCUGGGGACAGAACAAGACUUGAGUUGCUCAUGAGUAGAAACAUGGGUUUCUUGCUCAGAAGAGGGAAUGUCACAGCACUCAAAAGAUCCCAGGCUGCCACUUCCAGUUUAGGAAACCUCCAGUCACAAGAUGGUAACUGAGGCCGAAGGGGACCAAUACCUAACAAGCAAGACUGACCCCUAAAUUGCCAAUGGAGCACCUAGCCUAAAGACUGAAGCCAAAUCAGCUAAAUUUUCAGAAUCAAAGAUUCUGGCUGAUGUGUAUCAAGGAAGCCACUUUUCAUGGCAGACCUGAAGUCCUGAAACAUCCAUGAUGUCACCUUUCUCUACUGAUCUGCCUACCAGUACACGGCGGCGCGCUAUUAGCUCUGUAAUGUUUUAGCUUAAUUCUCCCACAUGUGGGCUGCAAUUCCAGCCAAAACAAACUCAGCAGGAGAUUUCACAGCCACUGAAUUGCUCAAGGUGCUCCAGGCUCCAUGACAUGGGGAGAUCAGGUUGGGAUGCAAAAGUUAUGAACAAAAAGAUAAACAGAAUGAAAAGGCAUGGGGUGGUGGGAUUUAGGGUUUGACUGGUGUGCAAAGCUUUCAGUUUUCCAAUUGGUAAUUUGAUUCUCUGGUUUGCCUUGGAGAUUUGCAGUGUUUUUCUGGCAUAUGUGAUGGAAGAAAGCACCCUGUUCCAUUCCGGGUAGUGAACCAUGGAGACCUUCUCAUUAAAUUACAAAGAAGAAUUUUAGGAUAUGAGAUCAUGAAAAAGAAUAGAAUUUGAAAACACACACAAACACAUAACUAGGCCAGCACAGGAAGAAUUUGUGGUGAAGCCAUUUUUCCCAUUGCAGAUAACUCUCUAAUCCUUUGGAUCCCAGAGUCCUGCACACACACGUGCACGUGCACACACAUGCACAUGUGCACACACACACACACAGUGUGAAGAGAAGGGUCUACAGCUGUCACUAUAAAGCCAGGCUGCACCAUAGGUUGAACCAAGAAGGUCUAGUGACAUUCAGUUAGUGAUCCUUACCUCUCAGUAUAUGAUCUUGAAGCUCUUCAUUUGAGAUCAUUCUGUCUAGCUCUUUUCUCCCUAUCACCCUCAUAACAUAACCCUCACCCCCAGGCCUUCAGAAUUGAAAAAACAAUAAGUCUGAGUAAUCACACCAUGAGACUAUUUAUGAUUAUUAGGGGGAAAGGAGGUGGGGAUUAAAGUGCUGUGCCAAUUAAAAGCAACAAUUCUUGCUGCUUCUCCCAAAUUCUUCACAAAAGUCAUAUGGAUGAUGGGACAUUUCUGAGUUUACCCCAGCCAAACUCUGAGAUGGAAAAGUAUUUGUUUUGUAUGGGCAAAGCUAUUUGUUCUUUUUUUCUUCUUUCUCUCUCUCCACUGUGGGAAAACGAAUUUAUUUUCAGUCACCCCUGACAUCUGACCACUCAGCUGAUCACAAGGACACUGUGGUAAGCCACAACUCAACUUGAAAUUAUCUCUUAGGCACAGUUCCUGUACUUUGGAUGGCACCAUCUCUAGCUCUCAGCUUGGCUUUCCUCUAUGAAGGUUCCAUUUUCCCUUUCUUUUCUCUACUCAGAGUGAGUGGUCUUGCGCUUAUCUUCCAACCGGGCUUGUCCUCAAAACAAACUAAGCAUGAAAAUGACACCAGUUUUCCUAGUCAAAGCCUCAAAAGUGGCCCAUUUAUAUAUGGUAUCUUUCUUCUAAAACAAAAGGAAAAAGAAAACGAGAUGAAAUCUUUGGAAUCCUGCAAAGUAGGUGGGGGAGCCAACUCUCUUGAUUAGUCUCAAGAUGAUUCAGCAGGGUUUAUACAUAUUCCUUCUGUUUGAAUCAUUUUGUUUUUGUAGCUGUUUUACACCUCCAGGAUCCUGCCAUCUGCCCACUCUAAAGAAAGACAGUAAAGCACUCCAAAUACAAUGGCUGGGAGGAAAAAAUUGUGAUCAAACUCAAGAGAUCAACUUUUCUUCACCCUUCUGGCUACUACUAUUCUUCCUGGAGAAAAGACAAUGUGGUGUGGCCCAGAGGUUCUUACUGUGGUGGGCUCACCUCUCAAUAAACCAUUCCUCUUCUGCCCUGUCAUGCCAUCAGGCUAAUGAGAGAGAACUUGGUGUACAGAUCUGUCUGCCCUCUUGGCUGAGGAAAGAAGAGAAGGGAUGUAGGCAGUGCCCUUGACAGUUAUAUCCUACUCAGAUCUGGUGUGUGUCACUGAAAUAUAGGUCAGCUUUUGCUGGACAACUCACAACAGCCUAGAAGCAUGUGGACCCCAGGCCAGGCCCAGUUCCUCCUGCUCACCCCAUACUCUCUUCCUGCCCAGUACAAGUUAACAAGCCCAACAAGCAUUGAGAGAGGCCUGCAGGACAGAAAAAAGCAGUCUUUCCAUUUUGCACACAAAUGUAAGGGAGCUCUAAAGUUAACAAAGGCUUCAUCAGUCCUGGGGUUGGUCCAAUGUGCGGGCUGAAGUUCAGCUGGCCUGACCAAAGGCAACUGCUAGCUAUUUGCACUUUCCGCAGGGACUGCUCCUCAACUCCUGAUUUAGAGAGUGGAGUGGACGGGUAAUGUGCAUGUAGUCACUGAGGACGAUUGGAGAAACAAAAUGAUUUUCAAUUACCAGGUGGUUCAGGUGGAGGCAGUGAGCAUAGAAAGUUUUCUUUCUGACAACAAAAUGAAGCGACAGCUGAAGAGCUUCUGGCCUUGAAGAGAGUUUAUCACUUUAAAGGGAUAUUGGCAAGUGCUUAGGGCUGAACACUAAGGUUUGGUUACUUCCCUUUCCCUCACAGUUCAUAGAGAGAUAAAGGUAUUAUAUGAAUUGGAUUUUUUCUUGUGAGUUAAAAAAACUGAUGCCCUGAUUUGGGGUAACAAGCAUGGCCAAGUUAGUACUGAGCAGAGAGAAAGUACUAGUCUAAGGCUUUGCCUUUGCAGAAAUGCAAAAAAAAUGCUCACAAAAAAACAUGUUCUAUUGAUUGUCCAAGGGUACCAAACUAUGCAUUCUCAAAAUGGAACUGAAGACUUCCAGGUUUCAGUAUCUAAUUGUCUUCUGACUAAAACAAUGAAAACAAAGUGGAAGAGCAGAGGAUGUUGUUUCAGGUAGAGUUUAGAAAGCAAGCAGAACUUCAAGGAGAACCUGAUUGUCUUUACUUAGGCUGAAUGCCUUGGCAAUAAUCUUAUAAAUGAGUUUAUCAUUUUUUCCCACCAUAUAAGUUAAACUUAGUGAGUAUCUGUUAUGUCCCUGGCACUGUGCAAAGCCUUUUUUUACACAUUAUAUAAUUUAGCCCUCCUAAGAACCUUAGAGGGUAGGUGUUGUUACCACUAUUUUACUUAUGAGACCUAAAAGAUUUUGUUUGAGGAGUAAGUUAGAACUGGAAUUCAAACUCAGCUUUCCUGACUCCCUUUUAAGUUUCACAACCAUUCAGCUGCCUUUUAUAAGUAGCAUUUUAUUUUAUAUAUUCAUACAAUUGUAAAGUAUAAGAAAAGCUAUAUGCUAAAACAAAAGUUUCUUUAAAUUACCUACUUACAAUGUUUUGCCCACACUUGAAGGCUAUAAAAUGUAUCUGGAUUGGUCAUAAAAUAUUAUCCACCAUCUAAUGAAAUAGUACAUGUGUUCAUGAGUAAACUCUCUAUAAGAAAGACAUAUAACUGGAUUAAAGUAUGACCUAGUACUUAAAAUGCAUUAGAAUUUCCAAACAUAAAAUUAUCUGGGCUUUGUAAGGAGAAAAUAUUGGCUUCAAAACUCAGAAAGUUAGAGAUAUUAACAAAUAGAUGAUUCAACGCUAAAUGCACAUUGACAAGGCAAGAAGAGAGAAGUUACUUCAGUCAGCUUCUUAACUGUAGGGGUUGGAUGCCAACAUUUCUUCAAACAGAGGAAAAGGUCAUAGUGUUAUCUUUUCUCUCUUUUUUUGCCUUUUCUGUUUGAAAAAGGAAAGAUUGGAGGUUAAGAGAAAUAAGGUAAAAGAUUUAGGACUAUAGAGAUGAAAAAGGUACUGCACUGUUCCACAAGGAUCCCAUGGUCUAGGAAGAGAAGCAGACAUAGACCCAAAACAAGAUGAGCAAUGAAAGAACAGGAAUAUUUGAGGCCCAAAACAGAGUACAGAAGGAAGUGAUUACCCAGAGAGACAGUAAGAAGGAAAGGGCCAGGAAAACUCUCCAAAAGGAGGAAAACUUGAAUUUAAAAACUGACCAAACGACUAAUGGAAGAAAUGAAGUCUAUACAAAAUCACAGAACAUAAAAUGGGCUGACAUUUUGGGGCCUAAGAGGAAUCUGAUAUAUUGGAGGACAGCAGGAAGGAACGCAUGUAGAGAAAUGAACUAGUGAAGUCCUGAAGAGUUAGAGCUCACAUGUAGUGUGGAGCCACUGACCAGUUUUAAAAGUAGAUUUGAGUUUCCAAAAAAUUACUCUUGCUGUCAAUCAUGAAUAGUUGGUAAUCUGAUUGACGAAAGGAAAGCUGGUUGUUUCAAAAAAGUCAUUGAAUAGACAAACUCUUGGCAUGAUUGAUGCUUUUAAGAGGCAGAAAUAAACAGCACAGGUAGAAAAAGUGACAUUGAAACAGACAAAGUAAAUAUUUUAAAAUUACAGGAGAGUCACAUGCACAAUAUUAGGACAAUAUAUUUGAAAUUUUCACCACAUUGAACAAUUUUUAGAAAGCAUAAAUAUGGAUAUUAACUGAAGAAAAAAUAUUGACAAUGAGAAGUAUGCUACAAAGUAAUACUAGCUCCAGAAGAUUUUGCAGACAAUUUUUUUCCAAAAAUUGUCUUUCCAAAGGAAAGAAAUAUUAAUCCUUAAUAUCACAGGGAAUAGAAAAGUGUUUUACAAGUAUUUACAGACCAUUGUAAUCCUGAUGCCAGAGCCAGGUGACAAUCAAUCUUACAUAUGGACAGAGAUGCAAAAAUACCAAAUAUUAGAAAGUUACUGUGU